This 412-nucleotide ribosomal RNA is filed under the name uncultured prokaryote. RNAcentral's name for it is "bacterial SSU rRNA". It matches the Rfam family "Bacterial small subunit ribosomal RNA", at positions 505 to 918 of the family's 1533-position model. The record is from RNAcentral.
GUGUCAGCAGCCGCGGUAACACGUAAGGGGCGAGCGUUGUUCGGAUUUAUUGGGCGUAAAGGGCGCGUAGGCGGUAAGAUAAGUCUGGUGUUAAAUGCCCCGGCUCAACCGGGGAAGUGCGCUGGAAACUGUAUUACUGGAGUGGUGGAGGGGGAGCUGGAAUUCCUGGUGUAGGGGUGAAAUCUGUAGAUAUCAGGAAGAACACCGGAGGCGAAGGCGAGCUCCUGGCCAUCUACUGACGCUGAGGCGCGAAAGCGUGGGGAGCAAACAGGAUUAGAUACCCUGGUAGUCCACGCUGUAAACGAUGUGCACUGGGUGUUAGUCCGUUGAGGAUUAGUGCCGUAGCUAACGCGUUAAGUGCACCGCCUGGGGAGUAUGCUCGCAAGGGUGAAACUCAAAUGAAUUGGCGGGG